Molecule: long non-coding RNA, 405 nt
Organism: Oncorhynchus tshawytscha (Chinook salmon)
Lineage: Eukaryota; Metazoa; Chordata; Actinopteri; Salmoniformes; Salmonidae
Source: Ensembl
UUUUGUGAACUGAGGGGGGAUCUUGGAAGGUUCGGGUUCACGUUUUUUGGCCUGGUGGUAGAUCUGUCAACGUGCCCUUGAGCAGGGCACUGACCCUGGAUGCUUCUGUGUGUCGCUCUGAAUGGGAAUCUGUUGGAUGACUGGGACAGAUGGCAACUGAUGCGUUCCUUUCAUUCCAUGGCAGGACAAAAUAUUUGUGCCCAACUGGUUUGGAGGCAAGACAUUUUAACAACAUUUGAUUAAAAACAUAGGAAAUGCAGCUAGCUGUGUUCUGUUCAAUCUAGGCUUGCUAGCCAGCCAAGUUAUUUGUGCAUUCAUACAUGAUCAGUCAAUACAUGCAUGCAGUAUGUUCACCUGAUGUUCGCUAACUUUCUUGUUACUUUCCCCUCCCCUCGUAUUUCACCA